CCAAUAGCGUAUAUUAAAGUUGUUGCAGUUAAAAAGCUCGUAGUUGAAUUUCGGGAUUGACGUAAUGGUCAUGCCUUAAGGGGUAUGAACUGUUACUGUUGAUUUCUCACCUUCUGGAGAAACUUGAUGUCCUUUAUUGGGUGUCUUGCGGAUCCAGUACCUUUACCUUGAAAAAAUUAGAGUGUUUAAAGCAUGCAUUUUUGCUCGAAUACAUUAGCAUGGAAUAAUAGAAUAGGACGGCAUGGUUCUAUUUUUUUGGUUUCUAGGAUCACCGUAAUGAUUAAUAGGGAUAGUUGGGGGCAUUAGUAUUCAAUUGUCAGAGGUGAAAUUCUUGGAUUUAUUGAAGACUAACUACUGCGAAAGCAUUUGCCAAGGAUGUUUUCAUUAAUCAAGAACGAAAGUUAGGGGAUCGAAGACGAUCAGAUACCGUCGUAGUCUUAACCAUAAACUAUGCCGACUAGGAAUCAGACGAUGUUAAUUUUUUAAUGACUCGUUUGGCACCUUACG
RNAcentral lists this ribosomal RNA (507 nucleotides) under uncultured Glomeromycotina. Its description in RNAcentral is "partial small subunit ribosomal RNA". It matches the Rfam family "Eukaryotic small subunit ribosomal RNA", at positions 591 to 1092 of the family's 1831-position model. The record is from RNAcentral. Lineage: Eukaryota; Fungi; Glomeromycota.